CCUACGGGGGGCAGCAGUGAGGAAUAUUGGUCAAUGGGCGAGAGCCUGAACCAGCCAAGUCGCGUGAAGGAUGAAGGAUCUAUGGUUUGUAAACUUCUUUUAUAUGGGAAUAAAGUGAGGAACGUGUUCCUUUUUGUAUGUACCAUAUGAAUAAGCAUCGGCUAACUCCGUGCCAGCAGCCGCGGUAAUACGGAGGAUGCAAGCGUUAUCCGGAUUUGUGGGUUUAAAGGGUGCGUAGGUGGUUAAUUAAGUCAGCGGUGAAAGUUUGUGGCUCAAACAUAAAAUUGCCGUUGAAACUGGUUGACUAGAGUAUAUUUGAGGUAGGCGGAAUGCGUGGUGUAGCGGUGAAAUGCAUAGAUAUCACGCAGAACUCCGAUUGCGAAGGCAGCUUACUAAACUAUAACUGACACUGAAGCACGAAAGCGUGGGGAUCAAACAGGAUUAGAUACCCCGGUAGUC
RNAcentral lists this ribosomal RNA (459 nucleotides) under uncultured bacterium. RNAcentral describes it as "partial 16S ribosomal RNA". It matches the Rfam family "Bacterial small subunit ribosomal RNA", at positions 338 to 795 of the family's 1533-position model. The record is from RNAcentral.